GAUGAACGCUGGCGGCGUGCCUAAUACAUGCAAGUCGAGCGAACGGACGAGGAGCUUGCUCCUCUGACGUUAGCGGCGGACGGGUGAGUAACACGUGGAUAACCUACCUAUAAGACUGGGAUAACUUCGGGAAACCGGAGCUAAUACCGGAUAAUAUAUUGAACCGCGUGGUUCAAUAGUGAAAGACGGUUUUGCUGUCACUUAUAGAUGGAUCCGCGCCGCAUUAGCUAGUUGGUAAGGUAACGGCUUACCAAGGCAACGAUGCGUAGCCGACCUGAGAGGGUGAUCGGCCACACUGGAACUGAGACACGGUCCAGACUCCUACGGGAGGCAGCAGUAGGGAAUCUUCCGCAAUGGGCGAAAGCCUGACGGAGCAACGCCGCGUGAGUGAUGAAGGUCUUCGGAUCGUAAAACUCUGUUAUUAGGGAAGAACAAAUGUGUAAGUAACUAUGCACGUCUUGACGGUACCUAAUCAGAAAGCCACGGCUAACUACGUG
Molecule: ribosomal RNA, 497 nt
Filed under: uncultured bacterium
Lineage: Bacteria
Description: partial 16S ribosomal RNA
Rfam family: Bacterial small subunit ribosomal RNA
Source: RNAcentral